UGGCUGAAUAAGGAAACAACCAACAGCCGAAGCUCGAGGGCCUCUCGGCCGGGUCUCUGGGUCCUCUCAGCGGCCGCAGCAGCAGAGACCCGCUCAGAGGGACAGGAGACCCGGAGGAGAGAACCGGGGCCGGUACCGAGCCUUUAGACGCAACUUACUGUCUCCGGUGAUCCGCCAGUCUGCUGACAGCUCCACAACACGGAAAUAAUGAAGCACGGACACACUGCGCAUGCUCCCAGGGGAGAGCCAGGACAUCAGCAGCCGGACAGAUCGGAGGAUGUUGACCUCUGACCCCAGACGCGUUGCCAUGGAAACCUACUGGAGAGAAGUGCGGAGCAUUGAGGAGGAGGAGGAGGGUGAGGAAGAGGAGGAGGAAGAGGAGGAGAAGAAGAGUA
Molecule: long non-coding RNA, 395 nt
Organism: Perca fluviatilis (European perch)
Lineage: Eukaryota; Metazoa; Chordata; Actinopteri; Perciformes; Percidae
Exons: 3
Source: RefSeq, a predicted model, not a curated record